GAACGCUGGCGGCAUGCCUAACACAUGCAAGUCGAACGGCAGCACAGAGGAGCUUGCUCCUUGGGUGGCGAGUGGCGGACGGGUGAGUAAUGCAUCGGGAUCUACCCAGACGUGGGGGAUAACCUCGGGAAACCGGGACUAAUACCGCAUACGUCCUACGGGAGAAAGCGGGGGACCUUUUAGGCCUCGCGCGGCUGGACGAACCGAUGUGCGAUUAGCUAGUUGGUGGGGUAAUGGCCUACCAAGGCGACGAUCGCUAGCUGGUCUGAGAGGAUGAUCAGCCACACUGGGACUGAGACACGGCCCAGACUCCUACGGGAGGCAGCAGUGGGGAAUAUUGGACAAUGGGCGCAAGCCUGAUCCAGCAAUGCCGCGUGUGUGAAGAAGGCCUUCGGGUUGUAAAGCACUUUUAUCAGGAACGAAAUCUGCAUGCUUAAUACGUGUGCAGUCUGACGGUACCUGAGGAAUAAGCACCGGCUAACUUCGUG
RNAcentral lists this ribosomal RNA (488 nucleotides) under uncultured bacterium. RNAcentral's name for it is "bacterial SSU rRNA". It matches the Rfam family "Bacterial small subunit ribosomal RNA", at positions 31 to 507 of the family's 1533-position model. The record is from RNAcentral.